Zingiber officinale is the source of this 106-nucleotide small nucleolar RNA. The record is from RefSeq and is a predicted model, not a curated record. Lineage: Eukaryota; Viridiplantae; Streptophyta; Magnoliopsida; Zingiberales; Zingiberaceae.
AAACCAUGAUGUGGGCAUUGUCUGAGCAUACUAUUGUAUUUAUCCUAAGCUUCAAAUAAAGAUUCAAAAUCCGCUUGCUUGAAACUUGUAAUAAGAUUCCUCAUAU